GGGCGUGGCGGACGGCUGAGUAAUCCGUGGCUAACCUACCCUCGGGACGGGGAUAGCCUCGGGAAACUGAGGCUAAUCCCCGAUAGGUAGGGACUCCUGGAAGGGGCCCUACCGAAAGGGUUGCGCGGGGAUGUCCGCGCAGCCGCCCGAGGAUGGGGCCACGGCCCAUCAGGUAGUUGGCGGGGUAACGGCCCGCCAAGCCUAUAACGGGUAGGGGCCGUGAGAGCGGGAGCCCCCAGAUGGGCCCUGAGACAAGGGCCCAGGCCCUACGGGGCGCACCAGGCGCGAAACCUCCGCAAUGCGGGAAACCGUGACGGGGUCACCCCGAGUGCCCCGAAGAGGGGCUUUUCCCCGCUGUAAAAAGGCGGGGGAAUAAGCGGGGGGCAAGUCUGGUGUCAGCCGCCGCGGUAAUACCAGCCCCGCGAGUGGUCGGGACGGUUAUUGGGCCUAAAGCGCCCGUAACCGGCCCGGUAAGUCCCUCCUUAAAGCCCCGGGCUCAACCCGGGGACGGGGGGGAUACUGCCGGGCUACGGGGCGGGAG
Molecule: ribosomal RNA, 541 nt
Filed under: uncultured archaeon
Lineage: Archaea
Description: bacterial SSU rRNA
Rfam family: Archaeal small subunit ribosomal RNA
Source: RNAcentral